AUCCAUUUGAAGAGUCCCAAAUAAGACGAAACGAGAGUCCUGGAU
Molecule: non-coding RNA, 45 nt
Filed under: Schistosoma curassoni
Lineage: Eukaryota; Metazoa; Platyhelminthes; Trematoda; Strigeidida; Schistosomatidae
Source: RNAcentral